This 93-nucleotide small RNA is filed under the name Salmonella enterica. RNAcentral describes it as "partial RtT sRNA". It matches the Rfam family "RtT RNA", at positions 1 to 90 of the family's 130-position model. From Rfam's summary of the family: This family represents a bacterial cis-regulatory element known as RtT RNA. The exact function of RtT is unknown although it is thought that it may be involved in changing the cellular response in relation to amino acid starvation. Lineage: Bacteria; Pseudomonadati; Pseudomonadota; Gammaproteobacteria; Enterobacterales; Enterobacteriaceae. The record is from RNAcentral.
UGCAUCUGGAGCCAGCGAGGAUGAGAACCUCCGGGGGCGGGAGGUUCGACCCGAGCGAAGCGAGAGAACGUUGCGCGAGCAACGGCCCGCAGG